RNAcentral lists this ribosomal RNA (442 nucleotides) under uncultured bacterium. Its description in RNAcentral is "partial 16S ribosomal RNA". It matches the Rfam family "Bacterial small subunit ribosomal RNA", at positions 338 to 795 of the family's 1533-position model. The record is from RNAcentral.
CCUACGGGUGGCAGCAGUGGGGAAUAUUGCACAAUGGGCGAAAGCCUGAUGGAGCAACGCCGCGUGCAGGAUGAAGGCCUUCGGGUUGUAAACUGCUUUUAUAAGCGAGAAAUAUGAUGGUAACUUAUGAAUAAGGAUCGGCUAACUACGUGCCAGCAGCCGCGGUCAUACGUAGGAUCCGAGCAUUAUCCGGAGUGACUGGGGGUAAAGAGUUGCGUAGGUGGCAUAAUAAGUAGCUAGUGAAAUCUGGUGGCUCAACCAUUCAGACUAUUAGCUAAACUGUUAAGCUCGAGACCGUUAGGGGUAACUGGAAUUUCUAGUGUAGGGGUGAAAUCCGUAGAUAUUAGAAGGAACACCAAUCGCGUAGGCAGGUUGCUGGGACGGUUCUGACACUAAGGCACGAAAGCGUAGGGAGCAAACGGGAUUAGAUACCCGAGUAGUC